Molecule: ribosomal RNA, 468 nt
Filed under: uncultured bacterium
Lineage: Bacteria
Description: partial 16S ribosomal RNA
Rfam family: Bacterial small subunit ribosomal RNA
Source: RNAcentral
GACGAACGCUGGCGGCGUGCUUAACACAUGCAAGUCGAACGGAAAGGCCCUGCUUUUGUGGGGUGCUCGAGUGGCGAACGGGUGAGUAACACGUGAGUAACCUGCCCUUGACUUUGGGAUAACUUCAGGAAACUGGGGCUAAUACCGGAUAGGAGCUACUGCUGCAUGGUGGGGGUUGGAAAGUUUCGGCGGUUGGGGAUGGUCUCGCGGCUUAUCAGCUUGUUGGUGGGGUAGUGGCUUACAAAGGCUUUGACGGGUAGCCGGCCUGAGAGGGGGACCGGCCACAUUGGGACUGAGAUACGGCCCAGACUCCUACGGGAGGCAGCAGUGGGGAAUAUUGCACAGUGGGCGGAAGCCUGAUGCAGCAACGCCGCGUGCGGGAUGACGGCCUUCGGGUUGUAAACCGCUUUCGCCUGUGACGAAGCGUGAGUGACGGUAAUGGGUAAAGAAGCACCGGCUAACUACGUG